CAAUAGCGUAUAUUAAAGUUGUUGCGGUUAAAAAGCUCGUAGUUGGAUUUCUGCCGAGGACGACCGGUCCGCCCUCUGGGUGAGUAUCUGGCUCGGCCUGGGCAUCUUCUUGGAGAACGUAGCUGCACUUGACUGUGUGGUGCGGUAUCCAGGACUUUUACUUUGAGGAAAUUAGAGUGUUUCAAGCAGGCUUACGCCUUGAAUACAUUAGCAUGGAAUAAUAAGAUAGGACCUCGGUUCUAUUUUGUUGGUUUCUAGAGCUGAGGUAAUGAUUAAUAGGGAUAGUUGGGGGCAUUAGUAUUUAAUUGUCAGAGGUGAAAUUCUUGGAUUUAUUAAAGACUAACAUCUGCGAAAGCAUUUGCCAAGGAUGUUUUCAUUAA
This 380-nucleotide ribosomal RNA is filed under the name uncultured eukaryote. Its description in RNAcentral is "partial 18S ribosomal RNA". It matches the Rfam family "Eukaryotic small subunit ribosomal RNA", at positions 592 to 976 of the family's 1831-position model. The record is from RNAcentral.